CCUCACCAUUGGAGAAGCAAUUAACAAAAUCCCUGACUGGAGUGUAUGAAGCAUCUGUUAUGGAAGUAUAAAAGGUUAGCCUAAAUCCCAGCACACAGAUGUCAGACUAGAACAAAUCAGCAUGGAGAAUUACCUGGAGGCGCCACAAGGUUAAGGUGGAGCAUAUGUAUGGUUAAAAGGUUGUUUAUGACUAGCAGAAUUAAUUUUUCAGGAUGAGAAGGUCAGACGUGCAGAAGUGAAGACUGUCUGUUAGCAGAGAUUGUUUUAGGCUCUGGAUUUCACCUGGCAAACACCAUGGCAGAUUUCAUUGGAAAAAGUCUGGAAAAAACAUUAUCUGAAAAAAAAAGAUCUGUCCUAGGGUAAAAUGCCUUCAGAAAUGUGCCCUGGCCACUGGUGUUGUAAGACAUUGAGGAUGACAGUUACACUGCUACGUCCUGUCGCUUGUACCUUCAGUUCACUGCCAAAGGUGUUUCAUGCUGCGGUAUGGAGGAAUAUAUUGGAGGGGCCAUAUGCCACUGACUUGACAUCAGUAUGGAAGUUUCUACAUGGCUUGUUACUGUCCUCCCAGAUUCAUUGUUGCUGUUCCUCAGUUUUCUUUAUCCAUAUUCUUGAAGGAUUAAUCAUUCUUAUCCACAGAGUGACCCUGGAGUGGAGAGGUAUGAACUACUUGACCCAGCUAUCAAGAGCAAUGACAUAUAACUCCAUCUGA
RNAcentral lists this long non-coding RNA (709 nucleotides) under Cairina moschata (Muscovy duck). Its description in RNAcentral is "domestica (muscovy Duck (domestic type)) lncRNA (ENSCMMG00000002735.1)". The record is from RNAcentral. Lineage: Eukaryota; Metazoa; Chordata; Aves; Anseriformes; Anatidae.